UGGGGAAUAUUGGGCAAUGAGCGCAAGCCUGACCCAGCAACGCCGCGUGAAGGAAGAAGGCUUUCGGGUUGUAAACUUCUUUUCUCAGGGACGAAGCAAGUGACGGUACCUGAGGAAUAAGCCACGGCUAACUACGUGCCAGCAGCCGCGGUAAUACGUAGGUGGCAAGCGUUAUCCGGAUUUACUGGGUGUAAAGGGCGUGUAGGCGGGAAAGCAAGUCAGAUGUGAAAACCAUGGGCUCAACCUGUGGCCUGCAUUUGAAACUGUUUUUCUUGAGUACUGGAGAGGCAGACGGAAUUCCUAGUGUGAGCGGAUGAAAUGCGUAGAUAUUGAGGAGGCAAGCACCGAGUGGCGAAGGCGGUCUGCUGGACAGCAACUGACGCUGAGGCGCGAAAGCGUGGGGAGCAAACAGGAUUAGAUACCC
This 424-nucleotide ribosomal RNA is filed under the name uncultured bacterium. RNAcentral's name for it is "bacterial SSU rRNA". It matches the Rfam family "Bacterial small subunit ribosomal RNA", at positions 355 to 787 of the family's 1533-position model. The record is from RNAcentral.